Long non-coding RNA from Uranotaenia lowii, 560 nucleotides. RefSeq lists it as uncharacterized. The transcript has 2 exons. The record is from RefSeq and is a predicted model, not a curated record. NCBI's taxonomy places the organism in Eukaryota, Metazoa, Arthropoda, Insecta, Diptera, Culicidae.
GUCAAAUAAUCAUCGAACUGGGAUUUCGAUGUUUUCUCUGUUCUGUUUCAAAAUGGCGAUACGAACAGAACAAGAAAAUUAUUUAUAAAAAUCAUUCUUGCCCGAAGCCACUGCAAUAUCGCGGAACUCGCAAAGGCCGAAAGUCAUCGGGUGGCGUUCAACGACAGCGAUCUGAAUCCGGAUGCAGUUGUUUUAAAAAAUUUGGCAACCUUUGCAGAACCAACAUCAAAUGAAAAACUGCAACACGAAUAUUGAUCUGCUUCUUUCUUCGGAUUCGGAAGGUUCAAUAAAAAAAAAGUAACAGCAUCGCGGUGGAUGUAUCGGAACAUCCGGAACUGAUUGAAUAACAGUCUCCGUCGCUAGAGGUGGCUUUUUCAUCCAACAUCAACACCCUCCACGAAACUACACCUCUUGGAUCUGGACAAAGAUGUCAAUUUUUGAACUUUCCUGGAACAAUCGGUGACUCGCGAUUCGGGACUCAUCCAACUAUUCGGUCGAAAAAGUGUCAAUGUGAAAACAACGUCAAGUGCAUUUUAAAAUAAAAAGAUUAUGCUACCAAA